UCGAGGAUAUUUCGCAAUGCCCGAAAGGGUGACUAUGCGACGCCGCGUGUGCGAUGAAGGUCUUCGGAUCGUAAAGCACUGUCAACCGGGAGGAACCUCAUAAGGGUGAAUAACCCUGGUGGGUGACAGUACCGGUGGAGGAAGCCACGGCUAACUCCGUGCCAGCAGCCGCGGUAAUACGGAGGUGGCAGGCGUUACUCGGAUUGAUUGGGGGUAAAGGGCGUGUAGGUGGUUAAUUAAGUCGGGUGUGAAAUCCCAUGGCUCAACCAUGGAACUGCAUUCGAAACUGAUUAGCUUGAGUGACAGAGAGGAAAGUGGAAUUCCCGGUGUAACAGUGAAAUGUGUAGAUAUCGGGAGGAACACCAGUGGCGAAGGCGACUUUCUGGCUGUCCACUGACACUGAAACGCGAGAGCUAGGGGAGCAAACA
This 428-nucleotide ribosomal RNA is filed under the name uncultured prokaryote. Its description in RNAcentral is "bacterial SSU rRNA". It matches the Rfam family "Bacterial small subunit ribosomal RNA", at positions 355 to 774 of the family's 1533-position model. The record is from RNAcentral.